This 205-nucleotide unclassified non-coding RNA is filed under the name soil metagenome. RNAcentral describes it as "partial contains 5.8S ribosomal RNA, internal transcribed spacer 2, and large subunit ribosomal RNA". The record is from RNAcentral.
AACACUGUUAACCUGCGGUACCUGCGGAGGGAUCAUUACCGAGUUUACAACUCCCAAACCCCUGUGAACAUACCUAUACGUUGCCUCGGCGGAUCAGCCCGCGCCCUGUAAAAAGGGACGGCCCGCCCGAGGACCCUAAACUCUGUUUUUAGUGGAACUUCUGAGUAAAACAAACAAAUAAAUCAAAACUUUUAGCAAUGGAUCU